GACGAACGCUGGCGGCGUGCUUAACACAUGCAAGUCGAACGGAAAGGCCCUGCUUUUGUGGGGUGCUCGAGUGGCGAACGGGUGAGUAACACGUGAGUAACCUGCCCUUGACUUUGGGAUGACUUCAGGCAACUGGGGCUAAUACCGGAUAGGAUCUCCUGCUGCAUGGUGGGGGUGGGAAAGUUUCGGUGGUUGGGGAUGGACUCGCGGCUUAUCCGCUUGUUUGUGGGGUAGUGGCUUACCAAGGCUUUGACGGGUAGCCGGCCGGGGAGGGUGACCGGCCACAUUGGGACUGGGCUGCGGCCCGGACUCGUACGGGAGGCAGCGGUGGGGAAUAUUGCACUAUGGGCGGAAGCCUGAUGCAGCAACGCCGCGUGCGGUAUGACGGCCUUCGGGUUGUAAACUGCUUUCGCCUGUGACGAAGCGUGAGUGACGGUAAUGGGUAAAGAAGCACCGGCUAACUACGUG
RNAcentral lists this ribosomal RNA (468 nucleotides) under uncultured bacterium. RNAcentral describes it as "partial 16S ribosomal RNA". It matches the Rfam family "Bacterial small subunit ribosomal RNA", at positions 28 to 507 of the family's 1533-position model. The record is from RNAcentral.